Scleropages formosus (Asian bonytongue) is the source of this 218-nucleotide long non-coding RNA. RefSeq lists it as uncharacterized. NCBI's taxonomy places the organism in Eukaryota, Metazoa, Chordata, Actinopteri, Osteoglossiformes, Osteoglossidae. The transcript has 3 exons. The record is from RefSeq and is a predicted model, not a curated record.
UCCUAGUCAGGGUCACGGAGGUCCAGGGCCUAUCCCACAAUCACUGAGCGCAAGGCUAAAGAGGGGGUGCCAGUCCAUUGCAGGCCGGAUGACUGGGACAUCAUACACAUCAAGGACACUUCAGAGAAAUGGAAUUUUCAAUUAACACAGGGUCAGAAUCUUGAUCAAGAGGAUUACAACAGGAACAGGGAUUCAAACCUGAGUCCUUCAGCUGCAAG